This is a non-coding RNA of Pelodiscus sinensis (Chinese soft-shelled turtle), 386 nucleotides long. The record is from RefSeq and is a predicted model, not a curated record. NCBI's taxonomy places the organism in Eukaryota, Metazoa, Chordata, Testudines, Trionychidae.
GUGGGUCAUUUUAGGGGUUUCCUUGGCAGAUGUAUAUGCUGUAUUUUAGAGCACCUCCUCAGUCAUCCUUUAUUUUUCAGCUCUGGAUGGAGUAUUUCUUCAUUUGCUCAAAGCUGUCUGGAACCACAGCUCUGUGACACUCCUUGCAGAAGAGACAGAGAAGCUUCCAAGCAGCUCCAAAAAGAAGAGAAGUCUGGAGCUUCUAAUUAGAAAUCAAAAUGUUUUGAGCAUCGUGAAUUCAUUCUGCCUUCUAGAGCCUAUGUGACUUGAGAGCUAAAGAACACUGCCCUGCAGGCUAAAGUACAUAUCGCUGUGGAUUCAAGGUUCCAAUUAAAACCGUGUUUGGGCCAUUGCUUUGCCUGGCAGUGCUUAAUCUUUCCCGAAAG